GCCCCUAUCUCCUCUCCACAGCCCCAUCUCCUCUCCUCUCCACAGCCCCCAUCGCCUCCACCACAGCGGCCUCCUCUCCAUGCCGCCCUCCUCCUCCACGGCCGCCCUCCUCCUCCACGACAGCCUCCUCCUCAACCGUCGCCUUCCUCCUUCGAUUAAGGUACUUGUGUAACAAAAAAUGGUUAUAAUUUUGAUUUUGGCUCUAUCAGCCUUCGAUUAAGGUACUGCUGUUUGUUUAUAAUUCACUGAUCAUGAUUAUAUUCUUAGGGUUUAUAUGAUUCAGCAAAUUCUUUUAAUUGUCAAAUAAUUCAUCUUCCCCAUCACGAUACCAUUCUUCAACUCCAUCACUGUAACACUCUCCCACCGGAAAAAAAAACACUCAAAAUAGUUAUUAAUUCACCAUACACAAACACAAACACAAACCCUUAUUGCUUUAUGCCGCUGUUCAUGUUCACCUUUUAGAAGCUCUUCACUUCAUAUCAAGAUGAGCAAGCAUUCCUUUCGGUCUGGUUUGAUUUCCAUUUUCCGAUACAGCCUUUUUAAUUCCUUUUUCUGAUUCAGCCUUUUCCCUUUUACACGUUUUAAUACUUAUGCAAUUUUUUAAUUCAUAGUUUGUCUGUAAAAUCGCAGGAGUCGACGAUCGUUGUAGCUGAAUGCCAGAUGGUUUUACUUGUUUCGUGUAAACACUCUUUGAUCGUGAUUUCUCUGUUUAAAGAAAGAAAUCUGUAUACCCUGGAGUCGUGUGUGUUACCGAGGUGAUGUUCCUCCAUAGCUGUUUACAUUACGCUCCAACCUCAUGAAGCCCUGUUCUCCCCAGCCCGUUCCCCAACUAUUCUUGAUUAUCCAGUAAUCCACAUCAUCUUCUCUACCAUAACCGACUAUGGUUAUGGUAUGAUUGAUGGAAUCAAUGUCUUCACAUGGAGCUUGGAAUCUGUAAAUACCCUGUACAUUCAGUGAAACAAUGUUAGCCAAAUGAAUACCUUAUUAUUUUCUAUUGAUUAAAAAUGCUAAAACGGUCUCUGAGUUUAUGUCACUUUUGCCACUUUAGUACAAAGAUGAAACUUUUUGUUUGUGGGACCUGAGGUUUCAUUUUUAUUGCCAUUUUCAUCCAAUUUGCAAACUUGGUUAGAAUUUUCUGCUAACUUCUCCCAUUUUUUGUCGUCUUCCUCAUUAAAUUAAAAUUUAUUAUUGCAUUAAAUGACGAUUAUACCCUUCAUUUAAAUGAAGAAAACGACAAAAGGGAAAAAGUAACAGAAAAUUCUAACCCAGUUUGCUAAUUGGAUGAAAAUGACAACAAAAAUGGAACCUCAGCAGGAAGCUAACCUCUUGUACUAUUUUAUGGUUUAAAUAUAAUGGUUGAU
Molecule: long non-coding RNA, 1361 nt
Filed under: Helianthus annuus (common sunflower)
Lineage: Eukaryota; Viridiplantae; Streptophyta; Magnoliopsida; Asterales; Asteraceae
Description: hypothetical non coding rna
Source: RNAcentral